Molecule: ribosomal RNA, 451 nt
Filed under: uncultured bacterium
Lineage: Bacteria
Description: partial 16S ribosomal RNA
Rfam family: Bacterial small subunit ribosomal RNA
Source: RNAcentral
AACGAACGCUGGCGGCAGGCUUAACACAUGCAAGUCGAACGGUUGUAGCAAUACAGCAGUGGCAGACGGGUGAGUAACACGUGGGAACCUUCCUAGGGGUACGGAACAACUCAGGGAAACUUGAGCUAAUACCGUAUACGUCCGUGAGGAGAAAGAUUUAUCGCCCUUAGACGGGCCCGCGGCGGAUUAGCUAGUUGGUGGGGUAACGGCCUACCAAGGCGACGAUCCGUAGCUGAUCUUAGAGGAUGAUCAGCCACACUGGGACUGAGACACGGACCAGACGCCUACGGGAGGCAGCAGUGGGGAAUCUUGGACAAUGGGCGCAAGCCUGAUCCAGCCAUGCCGCAUGAGUGAAGAAGGUCUUCGGAUUGUAAAGCUCUUUUGCCAGGGACGAUAAUGACGGUACCUGGAGAAUAAGCCCCGGCAAACUUCGUGCCAGCCGCCGCAGUAA